RNAcentral lists this ribosomal RNA (120 nucleotides) under Alphaproteobacteria bacterium. RNAcentral's name for it is "partial 16S ribosomal RNA". It matches the Rfam family "Bacterial small subunit ribosomal RNA", at positions 1 to 133 of the family's 1533-position model. The record is from RNAcentral. Lineage: Bacteria; Pseudomonadati; Pseudomonadota; Alphaproteobacteria.
UAACCUAAGAGUUUGAUCCUGGCUCAGAACGAACGCUGGCGGCAUGCCUAACACAUGCAAGUCGAACGCUAUCUUUGAUAGAGUGGCGCACGGGUGAGUAACGCGUGGGAACCUGCCUUU